This 1023-nucleotide long non-coding RNA is filed under the name Mytilus galloprovincialis (Mediterranean mussel). The record is from RNAcentral. Lineage: Eukaryota; Metazoa; Mollusca; Bivalvia; Mytilida; Mytilidae.
AAUCACAUAUCCGUUACACAUUUUAUUGUAUUUACUAUAUUAUUAAUAAUGCAUGAAUUAUAUUUGUACCAUUAAAGUCUUUUAAAAUCUACAAUCUACCCCCAAAACAAUGAUGUCAAAUGCAUAUUGUGAAUUGAUAACAAAUAGUACAGGGUUGGAAUACACAUCCUGAGGUUCACAUUAUUCAGUUUCCUCAGGUUCAUGUUUGUCAUUUUUCGUUUCAUUUUCCAUUCUAUUAGCUUCAUGAAAUAUUUGAGUUCUAGUUUUCCUGUUUCACUGCAUUUGAAUUUCAAUCUUCAAACAUCGCAAAUGAACACGAUAUAAUUAUGCCGGUGUUUCAGAAUAGAUUUCGGAGAUCCAAAGGACUCAUUAGGUUCGUGGAUACUUGUUUGGUGAACAACAGGAUCUUUUGUCCACUGGACAUGGUGAUCUUCGGAGAGACGUUUAGAUGUAUGUUUCUCCUCAUGUUUAUGUUUAUCGGUUGAAUAUAUGUUUUUAUCAGUUGAACAUAAGUUACACAGUCCCAAUUCAAACAUAGAAUGCUGAUGUUUAGACCUACUAUUAUCCUUACACAUGCCGAGUGUUAAUACUACGAUGCAGAUGAAUGUACCAAUUCCAGUACUAAAAAAAGACGAAAUCGUAGUUCCUACGUUUCCUCCAAAACCUUGAUUGUUGAUAUUAGAUUAAACAAAAUAUUUACUAUUAUAAAGAACAAUCAAACACAGUGAGACCAAUGGAAAGUAUCAGAUAUCAUUUUCUUCACGCAAAACAAAUUUUGCAUUGUUUCUUGAAUGAACUAAUCUUCCCACCUCGUUCGAUUUUACAAAAAAUGUAUCGAACACAAACAUUUGUAGCUAUCCUGUGAUAUAACAUGGUACAUUAUUUGGUAACUUAAGUAUCAUAUUGUGUAAAUAAUUAUCUUUUUCAAUCAAUCAAUCGACACUUUUCGGGAUUGGCAAAUGCGAGCAGUAUUACUAGCUAGAUGUUAUACUAACGGAAACGAUAUGUUUACCAAGAGUUGUC